GGGGCCGUAGUUCAGCUGGUUAGAAUGCCGGCCUGUCACGCCGGAGGUCGCGAGUUCGAGUCUCGUCGGCCCCGCCA
This 77-nucleotide transfer RNA is filed under the name bacterium. Its description in RNAcentral is "tRNA-Asp". It matches the Rfam family "tRNA". Rfam says of the family: Transfer RNA (tRNA) molecules are approximately 80 nucleotides in length. Their secondary structure includes four short double-helical elements and three loops (D, anti-codon, and T loops). Further hydrogen bonds mediate the characteristic L-shaped molecular structure. tRNAs have two regions of fundamental functional importance: the anti-codon, which is responsible for specific mRNA codon recognition, and the 3' end, to which the tRNAs corresponding amino acid is attached (by aminoacyl-tRNA synthetases). tRNAs cope with the degeneracy of the genetic code in two manners: having more than one tRNA (with a specific anti-codon) for a particular amino acid; and 'wobble' base-pairing, i.e. permitting non-standard base-pairing at the 3rd anti-codon position. RNAcentral also lists the same sequence under 2 other names. The record is from RNAcentral.